This 433-nucleotide ribosomal RNA is filed under the name uncultured bacterium. RNAcentral describes it as "partial 16S ribosomal RNA". It matches the Rfam family "Bacterial small subunit ribosomal RNA", at positions 29 to 507 of the family's 1533-position model. The record is from RNAcentral.
AACGAACGCUGGCGGCAUGCCUAACACAUGCAAGUCGAACGAAGCCUUCGGGCUUAGUGGCGCACGGGUGCGUAACGCGUGGGAAUCUGCCCCUUGCUUCGGAAUAACAAUUAGAAAUGACUGCUAAUACCGGAUGAAGUCUUCGGACCAAAGAUUUAUCGGCAAGGGAUGAGCCCGCGUAGGAUUAGGUAGUUGGUGGGGUAAAGGCCUACCAAGCCGACGAUCCUUAGCUGGUCUGAGAGGAUGAUCAGCCACACUGGGACUGAGACACGGCCCAGACUCCUACGGGAGGCAGCAGUGGGGAAUAUUGGACAAUGGACGCAAGUCUGAUCCAGCAAUGCCGCGUGAGUGAUGAAGGCCUUAGGGUUGUAAAGCUCUUUUACCAGGGAUGAUAAUGACAGUACCUGGAGAAUAAGCUCCGGCUAACUCCGUG